ACCCGCACAAGUGGUGGAGCAUGUGGUUUAAUUCGAAGAUACACGAAGAACCUUACCUGGCCUUGACAUGGUAGGAACCCUUAAGAGAUUAGGGGGUGCUAGCUUGCUAGAACCUACACACAGGUGCUGCACGGCUGUCGUCAGCUCGUGUCGUGAGAUGUUGGGUUAAGUCCCGCAACGAGCGCAACCCUCGUCGUUAGUUGCUAACAGUUUGGCUGAGCACUCUAACGAGACUGCCUUCGUAAGGAGGAGGAAGGUGAGGACGACGUCAAGUCAUCAUGGCCCUUACGGCCAGGGCUACACACGUGCUACAAUGGGGCGUACAAAGAGCUGCAAUACCGCGAGGUGGAGCCAAUCUCUUAAAGCGUCUCUCAGUUCGGAUUGUUCUCUGCAACUCGAGAACAUGAAGCUGGAAUCACUAGUAAUCGUAGAUCAGCUAUGCUACGGUGAAUACGUUCCCGGGUCUU
This 467-nucleotide ribosomal RNA is filed under the name uncultured Sulfuricurvum sp. RNAcentral's name for it is "bacterial SSU rRNA". It matches the Rfam family "Bacterial small subunit ribosomal RNA", at positions 919 to 1382 of the family's 1533-position model. Lineage: Bacteria; Pseudomonadati; Campylobacterota; Epsilonproteobacteria; Campylobacterales; Sulfurimonadaceae. The record is from RNAcentral.